This 506-nucleotide ribosomal RNA is filed under the name uncultured bacterium. RNAcentral describes it as "partial 16S ribosomal RNA". It matches the Rfam family "Bacterial small subunit ribosomal RNA", at positions 28 to 523 of the family's 1533-position model. The record is from RNAcentral.
GAUGAACGCUAGCUACAGGCUUAACACAUGCAAGUCGAGGGGUAACGAGAGGGAAGCUUGCUUUCCUUGUCGACGACCGGCGCACGGGUGAGUAACGCGUAUCCAACCUGCCCCCAACUAAGGAAUAACCUUGCGAAAGUAAGACUAAUACCCUAUAAUUUCCUCAGAUGACAUCUGACGAGGAAUAAAGAUUUAUCGGUUGUGGAUGGGGAUGCGUCUGAUUAGCUUGUUGGCGGGGUAACGGCCCACCAAGGCAACGAUCAGUAGGGGUUCUGAGAGGAAGGUCCCCAACAUUGGAACUGAGACACGGUCCAAACUCCUACGGGAGGCAGCAGGGAGGAAUAUUGGUCAAUGGGCGGAAGCCUGAACCAGCCAAGUAGCGUGCAGGAUGACGGCCCUAAGGGUUGUAAACUGCUUUUAUACAGGAAUAAAGUUAGCCACGUGUGGUUAUUUGUAGGUACUGUAUGAAUAAGGACCGGCUAAUUCCGUGCCAGCCGCCGCCGUAA